This 75-nucleotide transfer RNA is filed under the name Schistocerca americana (American grasshopper). RNAcentral describes it as "tRNA-Ser". It matches the Rfam family "tRNA". From Rfam's summary of the family: Transfer RNA (tRNA) molecules are approximately 80 nucleotides in length. Their secondary structure includes four short double-helical elements and three loops (D, anti-codon, and T loops). Lineage: Eukaryota; Metazoa; Arthropoda; Insecta; Orthoptera; Acrididae. The record is from RNAcentral.
GCCGGGGCGUAGCUCAGUUGGUAGAGCACUUGCCCUCGAAAGGCAAAGGUCCCGAGUUCGAGUCUUGGUCCGGCA